AGGACUUGACCCAAACGUUAUCUAGAUGUUACUAAGCUGAAAACAGUUGUUGAAGCACUUCAAACUUUAAGGUCCAAAACACAACAAUGAUAGCCGUAUCAAAUACAUCACCAUCCAUGUCUUUUUCAGCCACCAUCAAACAUGGGAAUAUAUUUCCUCUGCCCAGCAGUGUAUACCAAACUUUGUAUCAGACUUGACAAGAAAAACGAGAAAUGUAGCGUUUGUAAUCAUAAAAUAAGCAACGAGAUAUCAUGGCAACGGUAAAUACAGGACCCCAGAGGACAACAAGGCCAUUGGGGUGUUGUCACGUUGCAGUCGCUGUAAACACAAUAUCGUUGAGGACGCUGCCGUUAGUGACCUGCAUGAAGGGGAGAUGGCGGGAGUGGUGUAUGCAUGGCGGAUGUACAUGGAGGGGGCACCUGUUGGAUUCUGCUGACACAUUGACAUCGCUUUCCUCAUGAAGACCGUUUUGGUACUGUCACUGUAACUGCUGGCCGCUUCCGUCUGGACUUCCACCAUCGGAUGGUGGCUUUUUGGUGACUCGGAAAGAGAGACACGUAGAUCAGCAGAGCCGACGAAGUCGAACGUCCUGCACCACCAACCGGCAGUCCUCCCCCACCCGAGGGAGACGGACCUCCACGUCCACGCAGACAUGUAGAACAAGAAAGUGAACGUCCUUCACCACCAACUUUCAUUAAGCCAAACAUACACUUGUUUAAGCUCUCGUUAUAUUUGGACUCGAUUAUUGUAACAACAUCCUAUCUGGCCUAUAUCCUAAGCUCAUUUACAAGCUACAGUUGUAAAUAAUCCAGCUGCACGCAUCAUUAGAACACCUGUUCUGAGCGACACCAACUGGCUGCCUGUCAGGGCCCGGAUUGACGUCAAGAUACUUUGUUUCAUAUGUACAUUUCUUCACAGACUGACACCCUCUUACACCCUAAACUAAGGAAGGGUAUUCUAUAUAUAAGAGACCCGUGAAGACCCGGGGUAGAAUAGGUCUUUAGCAACCCCUGCUUUCCGAAAAAGGCGCCUAUGCUUGUCGUAAAAGGCCACUAACGA
RNAcentral lists this unclassified non-coding RNA (1059 nucleotides) under Haliotis rufescens (red abalone). RNAcentral's name for it is "uncharacterized protein RT0683-like, transcript variant X3". The record is from RNAcentral. Lineage: Eukaryota; Metazoa; Mollusca; Gastropoda; Lepetellida; Haliotidae.